CCAGAGAUGGAUUGGUGCCUUCGGGAACUCUGAGGACAGGUGCUGCAUGGCUGUCGUCAGCUCGUGUUGUGAAAUGUUGGGUUAAGUCCCGCAACGAGCGCAACCCUUAUCCUUUGUUGCCAGCGGUCCGGCCGGGAACUCAAAGGAGACUGCCAGUGAUAAACUGGAGGAAGGUGGGGAUGACGUCAAGUCAUCAUGGCCCUUACGAGUAGGGCUACACACGUGCUACAAUGGCGCAUACAAAGAGAAGCGACCUCGCGAGAGCAAGCGGACCUCAUAAAGUGCGUCGUAGUCCGGAUUGGAGUCUGCAACUCGACUCCAUGAAGUCGGAAUCGCUAGUAAUCGUGGAUCAGAAUGCCACGGUGAAUACGUUCCCGGGCCUUGUACACACCGCCCGUCACACCAUGGGAGUGGGUUGCAAAAGAAGUAGGUAGCUUAACCUUCGGGAGGGCGCUUACCACUUUGUGAUUCAUGACUGGGGUGAAGUCGUAACAAGGUAAGCGUAGAUGA
This 510-nucleotide ribosomal RNA is filed under the name uncultured bacterium. RNAcentral describes it as "bacterial SSU rRNA". It matches the Rfam family "Bacterial small subunit ribosomal RNA", at positions 1000 to 1509 of the family's 1533-position model. The record is from RNAcentral.